CUCAAUAAAGCUGUCUUGAGCAAGAUUAUAAAAAGAAGACUGUGACAAACUCCCCUGUCCUCGUGAGUUUGCCACGAGCUACUGGAGGUGCCUGCUUGCCAGUCCCCUGCCCACCGACUAUGGGCAGGUCAGCGACUGUAAAGACCAAUCUUUUAUUUCCCCUGGUUCGGCACUUACCAUUCGUACACAUAGAACCGAACGCUAGCUCCCUGGAAGCCGUUCGCAUCGCUCAAAACCGCAAAUAAACUUCAGGUGGACUUAGCCACGAAAGCCCUGGAACUAUUUUUGUCAUGAAGACUUUGCGGUCCGUCCCCAGUGGCACUUAGCAGCGAUUCCAUGGAACUAUUUUCGGCAGGGGACCAUGUGGUCAAAUUAUGACUUCAAGGAAAUUCUUGAACCCCUGAAAUGAUCCGGGUGAUUUUUGAAUAUGUUGGUCACCCAGAUCAGGGCUAUCAGGGCAUGUAACAUUUGUGGGGGUCUGUGGCUGCCAUUAAAGGAUUCCACCUUGUACUCCCAGAACUUUGUGUCGUCUGGUUACUGGGAGGGGAAAGGGCUAAUCACUGUUCCAGCUUGUUCCAGCAUGUAGGAUUCAAUGGGGAAAGUCCUUGUAAGGACUAGAGCUCCUAGGACUGAGUGUUGUCCAGUGCCUGGGGGUGUCUAGAGCGGAUUCCCCAUUCGGCACCAGGAGGGAGCGGUUCCAGGACCCUAGUCAAGCCACGGCGAGUGUGGCAGAAGUGCUGCGGUUUGUCCCCUGUUCCAGCUAGGAAGCGGUCCUUUGGCGGAGGUACCCAGCUGGAGUACAGGGAGCUCCGUUACAAAGACUUUUAUAAAAAAUUUAAUUAUUGAAGAACAAGAGAUUUCUUUGUUUCAGGAAUGCCG
This is a non-coding RNA of Pelobates cultripes (western spadefoot toad), 879 nucleotides long. The record is from the annotation of a GenBank genome assembly. Lineage: Eukaryota; Metazoa; Chordata; Amphibia; Anura; Pelobatidae.